UCCUGGCUUAGGAUGAACGCUAGCGACAGGCUUAACACAUGCAAGUCGAGGGGCAUCACGGGAGUAGCAAUACAACUGGUGGCGACCGGCGCACGGGUGAGUAACGCGUAUGCAACCUACCUAUCAGAGGGGAAUAACCCGGCGAAAGUCGGACUAAUACCGCAUAAAACAGGGGCACCGCAUGGUGAUAUUUGUUAAAGAAAUUCGCUGAUAGAUGGGCAUGCGUUCCAUUAGGUAGUUGGUGAGGUAACGGCUCACCAAGCCGACGAUGGAUAGGGGAACUGAGAGGUUGGUCCCCCACACUGGUACUGAGACACGGACCAGACUCCUACGGGAGGCAGCAGUGAGGAAUAUUGGUCAAUGGGCGGGAGCCUGAACCAGCCAAGUCGCGUGAAGGAAGAAGGAUCUAUGGUUCGUAAACUUCUUUUGCAGGGGAAUAAAGUGCAGGACGUGUCCUGUUUUGUAUGUACCCUGAGAAUAAGGAUCGGCUAACUCCGUGCCAGCCGCCGC
RNAcentral lists this ribosomal RNA (510 nucleotides) under uncultured bacterium. Its description in RNAcentral is "bacterial SSU rRNA". It matches the Rfam family "Bacterial small subunit ribosomal RNA", at positions 17 to 518 of the family's 1533-position model. The record is from RNAcentral.